CUUGGUCAUUUAGAGGAAGUAAAAGUCGUAACAAGGUUUCCGUAGGUGAACCUGCGGAAGGAUCAUUACCUAGAGUUGUAGGCUUUGCCUGCUAUCUCUUACCCAUGUCUUUUGAGUACCUUACGUUUCCUCGGUGGGUUCGCCCACCGAUUGGACAAACUUAAACCCUUUGCAGUUGAAAUCAGCGUCUGAAAAAACUUAAUAGUUACAACUUUCAACAACGGAUCUCUUGGUUCUGGCAUCGAUGAAGAACGCAGCGAAAUGCGAUAAGUAGUGUGAAUUGCAGAAUUCAGUGAAUCAUCGAAUCUUUGAACGCACAUUGCGCCCCUUGGUAUUCCAUGGGGCAUGCCUGUUCGAGCGUCAUUUGUACCUUCAAGCUUUGCUUGGUGUUGGGUGUUUGUCUCGCCUCCGCGCGUAGACUCGCCUCAAAACAAUUGGCAGCCGGCGUAUUGUUUUCGGAGCGCAGUACAUCUCGCGCUUUGCACUCAUAACGACGACGUCCAAAAGUACAUUUUUACACUCUUGACCUCGGAUCAGGUAGGGAUACCCGC
RNAcentral lists this ribosomal RNA (551 nucleotides) under uncultured fungus. Its description in RNAcentral is "eukaryotic LSU rRNA". The stretch from base 210 to 363 matches the Rfam family "5.8S ribosomal RNA". Lineage: Eukaryota; Fungi. The record is from RNAcentral.